Molecule: ribosomal RNA, 462 nt
Filed under: uncultured bacterium
Lineage: Bacteria
Description: partial 16S ribosomal RNA
Rfam family: Bacterial small subunit ribosomal RNA
Source: RNAcentral
CCUACGGGCGGCAGCAGUGAGGAAUAUUGGUCAAUGGGCGAGAGCCUGAACCAGCCAAGUCGCGUGAAGGAUGACGGCCCUACGGGUUGUAAACUUCUUUUGUCAGGGAGCAAUUGGGUCCACGCGUGGGCUUAGCGAGAGGACCUGAAGAAAAAGCAUAGGCUAACUCCGUGCCAGCAGCCGCGGGCAUACGUAGGGAGCAAGCGUUGUUCGGAAUGACUGGGGGGAAAGGGUGCGUAGGCGGGUAUACAAGGUAGGAGUGAAAUACCCAGGGCUUAACUCGGGUGCUGCUUCUAAAACUGUAAGACUUGAGUGCAGGAGAGGUUAGUGGAAGUCCUAGUGUAGCGGUGGAAUGCGUAGAUAUGAGGAGGAACACCAGAGGCGAAGGCGGCUAACUGGACUGCAACUGACGCUGAGGCACGAAAGUGUGGGGAGCAAACAGGAUUAGAUACCCCAGUAGUC